UUGUGAGGCAUCUCCGGGUAGGGCGCCGGCCUAAGUUCCUUGGAACAGGACGUCACAGAGGGUGAGAAUCCCGUGCUUGGCUGGCUGUCCCCGUCCAUGUGAGGUGUCUUCGACGAGUCGAGUUGUUUGGGAAUGCAGCUCAAAAUGGGUGGUAAAUUUCAUCUAAAGCUAAAUAUUGGUGGGAGACCGAUAGCGCACAAGUAGAGUGAUCGAAAGAUGAAAAGCACUUUGAAAAUAGAGUUAAAAAGUACGUGAAAUUGUUGAAAGGGAAGCGCUUGAGACCAGACUUCGGUAGGGGGUGAUCACCCGUCCUUCUGGGCGGUGCACUUGCCCCCCUCCGGGCCAGCAUCGGUUGAGGCGGCGGGAUAAAGGUCCCGGGAAUGUGGCUCCUUCGCGGGAGUGUUAUAGCCCGGGUGAAUGCCGCCAGUCUCGACCGAGGACCGCACCCGCAAGGGUUAGGAUGCUUGGCAUAAUGGUCUUCAGCGAC
RNAcentral lists this ribosomal RNA (487 nucleotides) under Morchella sp. RNAcentral describes it as "partial large subunit ribosomal RNA". It matches the Rfam family "Eukaryotic large subunit ribosomal RNA", at positions 151 to 648 of the family's 3401-position model. Lineage: Eukaryota; Fungi; Ascomycota; Pezizomycetes; Pezizales; Morchellaceae. The record is from RNAcentral.